UGGAAGAAAGACCUACAUAGUGAAAGUGGC
This 30-nucleotide non-coding RNA is filed under the name Rattus norvegicus (Norway rat). The record is from RNAcentral. Lineage: Eukaryota; Metazoa; Chordata; Mammalia; Rodentia; Muridae.